CAAAAAAGCUGUAGUUUUUUCAUUUGGCUUGAAGUCAGUAUAGAGAAGUUAUUUAAAAUAAGAUUUUCGUCCCACGGAAUUGUCCCCUUUGUUAUUGUAUAUCCUUCAGGUUUAUGGGACAGCACUAGAGGAAAGUGACAGCCUCAGAGGACCUUCAGAUGGUGUCCUGGGUAGCUGAAACUGUGGAAAGCAAAACCGUGGAUAAGGGGGAACUACUAUACUGAAAAUGUACAAAACAGAGAAGAUUUCAUUGAAGAAGUCUGCUGUUUCUGGAAUGGGAAAUUAAGGUAGGAAUUUAGGAAAACGUUCUGAAUUUCAAUGCCACAUGGCAGGGUGGUGAGGAGGAAGCUGGAGCCAGGGUUCAAGUAACUAAUGAGUCUCUCAUCUUCUAUAACAUCAUUGGUUCUUUUGAAGCACAACUGGAACAGUUAUCGACUGUGAUUCUUGCUGGGACCAAUAACCUUCUACAAAUACCAACAUCAGUUUUUAUGAAAGGCAAAGAGCUGACAGGUUUACAGACUGCACCCUAACAUUAAGCUACCAGGAGAAACUUCCAAGUUACCCUCUUGUUACUUGUGCCCCAGAGGUGAACACUAUAAACUGCUACAGCAUGCAAUUUAGGGAGAGGUUCGUGAAGAAGUGAUUGGGAAAGAGAGCAAGUCUUGGUUGGACAGUGUGGUAAGAUUCAAUAGAAAUGUGAGGAGGAAAACUGCAAUUAUUUCUGAACCUUCCCAUCAGCCUUGUCUCUGAUAGAAUUGGCCUGUUGUGGACGGGCUUUGUGUAGAUUAGAGAAAGAAGAAGAUGCUCUUUUGGUGUAAUUGUUCAGCUAAAUCAGUGUGAGACCAAGGACCCUGGGGCUCCUCCAGUCAUUGCAGCUGUAUCACAACUACCCUGACAGGUGAGUUGUACUACCCUCAUUUUACAGAAGAUGAAACUAAGGUUCAGGAUGGUUAACCAACAAAGGUCACAUGCUAAUAAAUAUUAAAGCUUAGACUUCAGGCCUGACUUCAUUGAUUGGGCAUUUUAUCAACUGUAUAUAUUUAGAGUUCUAAGUCCAUUGUUGAAAACUUGAGAUUAAUUCCAGAAAGAUUUGGAGAUACAUGACAUGAAAGGAAGGAGGUCAUAGUUUUUAGGUCAAAUGAUGUAACAAAGUCAACAUGUCACACAAUUUUCAUUCACCUCAUGCUGACCUUUUUAAAUGAAAUGACAUGGGUAAUCAGGGUCACCCUUCCUGGAACUAGGUAGAAAGAAGUGAUGUUUCCUUUAGCUAUUUAAGGAUCAGCCUCCUACAUUCAUGGGGAGCUUAUUAUACAGGGCAAUGUGACAGGCAAUGGGGAUAUAAAAU
Molecule: long non-coding RNA, 1345 nt
Filed under: Homo sapiens (human)
Lineage: Eukaryota; Metazoa; Chordata; Mammalia; Primates; Hominidae
Description: long non-coding RNA NONHSAT213227.1
Source: RNAcentral